GCGCUUUUUCCUACAGAAGAAAUGUAUACACGUGCUGCACUGCAGUAGCCGGUGACCGGAAGUAACGUUCCACCCAGGAAGCGGCGAUUGAGAAGACCGAUGCGAAUGUUACCCGCUGCCGCCAGCCUCCACCACACCAAGGCGGCCAGGGCAGCUACUCUAUUGAAUGUUGAGGUUUUUGGGUACCUGAAAGAAAAUGGUUUGCUUCAUCCAUUAGCAAAUUUGCAAGAGGAAGCCAAUGUCUUGAAACACGGAGGACAGCUGUGUGGGUGACAUUAAAAGCGAGCAUCAGGAUCCAGUGCUGCAGACUAUUGUCUCCUAAGCUGCCGGACUCAAUGUUUAUUGACUUCGGUACACAGGGCAGAUACUCUAUUGAAUGUUGAGGUUUUUGGGUACCUGAAAGAAAAUGGUUUGCUUCAUCCAUUAGCAAAUUUGCAAGAGGAAGCCAAUGUCUUGAAACACGGAGGACAGCUGUGUGGGUGACAUUAAAAGCGAGCAUCAGGAUCCAGUGCUGCAGACUAUUGUGUCUCCGAAGCUGCCGGACUCAAUGUUUAUUGACU
Molecule: long non-coding RNA, 560 nt
Organism: Pseudophryne corroboree (corroboree frog)
Lineage: Eukaryota; Metazoa; Chordata; Amphibia; Anura; Myobatrachidae
Exons: 3
Source: RefSeq, a predicted model, not a curated record